AACGAACGCUGGCGGCAUGCCUAACACAUGCAAGUCGAACGAGACCUUCGGGUCUAGUGGCGCACGGGUGCGUAACGCGUGGGAACCUGCCCUUAGGUUCGGAAUAACUCCCCGAAAGGGGUGCUAAUACCGGAUAAUGUCUUCGGACCAAAGAUUUAUCGCCUUUGGAUGGGCCCGCGUUGGAUUAGCUAGUUGGUAGGGUAAAAGCCUACCAAGGCGACGAUCCAUAGCUGGUCUGAGAGGAUGAUCAGCCACACUGGGACUGAGACACGGCCCAGACUCCUACGGGAGGCAGCAGUGGGGAAUAUUGGACAAUGGACGAAAGCCUGAUCCAGCAAUGCCGCGUGAGUGAUGAAGGCCUUAGGGUUGUAAAGCUCUUUUACCCGGGAUGAUAAUGACAGUACCGGGAGAAUAAGCGCCGGCUAACUCCGUG
This 433-nucleotide ribosomal RNA is filed under the name uncultured bacterium. Its description in RNAcentral is "partial 16S ribosomal RNA". It matches the Rfam family "Bacterial small subunit ribosomal RNA", at positions 29 to 507 of the family's 1533-position model. The record is from RNAcentral.